This 1547-nucleotide long non-coding RNA is filed under the name Nicotiana tabacum (common tobacco). RNAcentral's name for it is "long non-coding RNA (NTAB_LNC009094)". The record is from RNAcentral. Lineage: Eukaryota; Viridiplantae; Streptophyta; Magnoliopsida; Solanales; Solanaceae.
UGCAGAAUCAAACACAGCCCAACAUCGGGGUGUCACCAGUCAUGAGCAUCUAAAAUCCGUCUAAGAGUAUGAAAAGACAACAUAGUCUAAUACAAGGCUAGUACAAAGUGAAGUAAAUAUAGGAAGGAGAAACACUGGGCUGCGAGUGCAGGGAGUAAUGUGAGUACGCUAACUCAGUAAGUAAUAAAAGUAAAGGCAGCUGAGUGAUAAGAAAACAUGUAAAACACAGCAUAAUUCUACAACAAAAACAGUAUAAAACCAGGACAAUGCAAUAAAACAGUAAAAGCUCGUAAAAACACCUUAGUUCAAUAAAAACCCUUUUAAAAUAUCUUUCAGUAGUUCAAACGAGUGAUGAAAAUAGGGAGAAAAAGAUAGAAACAUAAAUCAGCCCCUCGGGCAAAAUACCAACAGAACCAGCUUCUCGAGCUAUCUCACAAUCACUCCUAUCAGCCCUUCGGGCUAUAAUAUGAACAACAACGGCCAUCGGGCAAUAUCACAUCUCACAUUGGGUACCCGCGCUCACUGGGGGUGUGCAGACUCUGGAGGAGCUCCUACAGCCCAAGCGCGAUAUCAAACCAUCUCGUGGUAUAAUCAAACUGGUCCUCAUCCUCAUAAUCGUGAAUCAGUACAACACUGCUGCGGCGCGCAACCCGAUCCCAUAGUAUCCUCACAACACAGGCCCUCGGCCUCACUUAGUCAGAAAUCUCUCAAGCCACUCGGGCAACAGUAAAACAGGAUGCUCAGCCCAAAAUAUCAUUUAAAAUAUCAAAACGGAGUAAAUAUGGUUGAGUUAUGAAAAUAGUAGAAUACAACAUCGCUGAGUAUAAUAUGAAGUCAAAACAUUGAGAAAUAGUAGUAAAAAUUCCCUAAGGGUCCAAAACAGUUGGCACGAGGCCCAAAUAUGACAUUCAGCCCAAAACAUGAUAAUACUUUCCAAAACACAAUGAUAACAAAUAGUUUUCAAUCAAAUACGCGGUUUAAAAGUCAUACGGAACGGACUAAGUCACAAUCCCCAACAGUGCACGACCCCACGCUCGUCAUCUAGCGUGUGUGUCACCUUAAAGUAGCACAAUUAUGUGAUGUUCGGGGUUUCAUACCCUUAGGACAGCAUUUACAAUUAUUACUUACCUCUAUCCGGUCCAAACUCUAGCCCGCAAUACCUUUGCCCCUCGAAUCGGCCUCCAGAUGCUCCAAAUCUAUCCAAAAACAGAUUUAUACAAUCAAAAUAUGAUAAGGGAACAUGGACCACUCGAAAAUAACCAAUUUACAUCAAAAAUCCUGAAAUUGAUCAAACCCAACCCCUAGGCUGUCACGCCCCGAACCUGAGGGCGAGACUGGCACCCAGUGCCUCUCCUAUCAUUGCGUACUAACUUGCAACUAAGGGACUCUGCACAUAUGAUAUCAUACUUUAGCUAUGGGCCACAUUGCAAGAUAAUUGUGAGUGCUGACUAAAUGUCUAUAUACAACUGGGCCGACAAGGCCGUCAAAACUAUUACAGCUGACAAACCAAUCAAAUAUACAUAUAAGGCCUGCAAGCCUAACAUAUU